GCCAGUGCCAUCUGUAGGUGGAUGCUUUUUCAUCUCAGCUGAAUGAUUCCUACGGAAACAGCCUACAGCAAAAGUGAUUAAGCCACUGGUUGAUGUGCCUGGGAGCCACAGCAUAUGCCUUUGGACACUAACGAAAGGAAUUUUCCCAAGGAAUGUGUUCUUGAUAGCUGAAUGGAAUUAUUUGUAGGAAGACUGAAAAGGAUUUAAACAAAACCUUGAGAGCUUCAUUGAUCUGAGUAAAAUCAGCCGUCUUCCUGUCAUACCACGUUCAGCAAGACUGAAGGGAAGACCAUCCAGAUAGCAAGGCCACCACUGUCACAGCUGAGGCCUCAAUGGUUCCCUGAUCCUGUGAUGCUCAAGGGCAAGAUUACAUCAGCUGAAGCUUCCUGGUUCUUUGGGAAUGGAGUAGUAAGAAUAUUUUGCUCAUCUCACCGUCUUCAUCAACAUAAGAUCUUCAUCAAGAUAGGAUUACUGCCACCCUCUGAGUCAUCUGAUACUCCCUCUGAUUAUUGUAUGAACCCAAUAAAUAGUGGCUAGCUCAGAGUGUCUUAGUGUUUGCCUACUGUGAGGCACUGAUUUUCCAGACCCC
Heterocephalus glaber (naked mole-rat) is the source of this 589-nucleotide long non-coding RNA. NCBI's taxonomy places the organism in Eukaryota, Metazoa, Chordata, Mammalia, Rodentia, Bathyergidae. The record is from Ensembl.